AAGGUCGAGCGCAAGAACAAGAGCUCGUCAAGGAGUUACUAAUCUGUAGCAAAGCUUUGCUGUCAGGUUGAGCAGUGGCUGAUGAAGAUGAAGUGAAGAGCGGAGCUUUUGUCAAAAGUUAAAUGAAUGAACUCUUGGAUACAUGUCUUCAUACAUGUAAUCAGAUUAUGUUAUUCCGCUGCGUAUUCUUAAGUAAUAAGUCUUUUGAAUUAAGUCGGAUUUAUCCGAACUUACUAGUUUGUUUGAGUCAAUAUGACUUAACCUCCGUUAUAUUAUAAAUAUUCCUUUUGUUAACAAUGAUUAAA
This is a long non-coding RNA of Salvia miltiorrhiza (redroot sage), 305 nucleotides long. RefSeq lists it as uncharacterized. The transcript has 2 exons. Lineage: Eukaryota; Viridiplantae; Streptophyta; Magnoliopsida; Lamiales; Lamiaceae. The record is from RefSeq and is a predicted model, not a curated record.